RNAcentral lists this ribosomal RNA (253 nucleotides) under uncultured bacterium. Its description in RNAcentral is "partial 16S ribosomal RNA". It matches the Rfam family "Bacterial small subunit ribosomal RNA", at positions 524 to 776 of the family's 1533-position model. The record is from RNAcentral.
GCAGGGGGAUGCACGCCUUAUCCGGAAUCACUGGGCGUAAAGCGUCUGUAGGUGGUGAUGCAAGUCACUGGUGCAAAACUCUGGCUCAACCGGAGGAAAGCCAGUGAAACUGCAUGACUAGAGUGUGGGAGAGGUAGAAGGAAUUCCCUGAGUAGCGGUGAAAUGCGUAGAUACAGGGAAGAACACCGGAGGCGAAAGCGUUCUACUGGAACACAACUGACUCUGAGAGACGAAAGCUAGGGGAGCGAAUGGG